GAUGAACGCUGGCGGCGUGCCUAAUACAUGCAAGUCGAGCGAACAGACGAGGAGCUUGCUCCUCUCACGUUAGCGGCGGACGGGUGAGUAACACGUGUAUCACCUACCUAUAAGACUGGGAUAACUUCGGGAAACCGGAGCUAAUACCGGAGAAUAUAUUGAACCGCAGUGGUCGAUAGUGAAAGUCGGUUUUGGGGUCUGUUCUAGAUGGAUCUGAGCCUGAUUGUGUAGUUGGGAAGGUAACGGGUUACCAAGGGAACUAGGGGUAGGCGAGCGGAGAGAGUGGUCGGCCACCCUGGAACGUAGACACGGACCAGACUCCUACGAGAGGCAGCAGUAGGGAAUCUUCCGCAAUAGGCGAAAGCCUGACGGAGCAACGCCGAGUGAGUGAUGACGAUCUUCGGAUCGUAAAACUCUGUUAUGAGGGAAGAACAAAUGUGUAAGUAACUAUGCCGGUAUUGACGGUACCGAAUCAGAAAGCCACGGCUAACUACGUG
This 497-nucleotide ribosomal RNA is filed under the name uncultured bacterium. RNAcentral describes it as "partial 16S ribosomal RNA". It matches the Rfam family "Bacterial small subunit ribosomal RNA", at positions 28 to 507 of the family's 1533-position model. The record is from RNAcentral.